RNAcentral lists this ribosomal RNA (468 nucleotides) under uncultured bacterium. RNAcentral describes it as "partial 16S ribosomal RNA". It matches the Rfam family "Bacterial small subunit ribosomal RNA", at positions 28 to 507 of the family's 1533-position model. The record is from RNAcentral.
GACGAACGCUGGCGGCGUGCUUAACACAUGCAAGUCGAACGGAAAGGCCCUGCUUUUGUGGGGUGCUCGAGUGGCGAACGGGUGAGUAACACGUGAGUAACCUGCCCUUGACUUUGGGAUAACUUCAGGAAACUGGGGCUAAUACCGGAUAGGAGCUCCUGCUGCAUGGUGUGGGUUGGAAAGUUUCGGCGGUUGGGGAUGGACUCGCGGCUUAUCAGCUUGUUGGUGGGGUAGUGGCUUACCAAGGCUUUGACGGGUAGCCGGCCUGAGAGGGUGACCGGACACAUUGGGACUGAGAUACGGCCCAGAAUCCUACGGGAGGCAGCAGUGGGGAAUAUUGCACAAUGGGCGGAAGCCUGAUGCAGCAACGCCGCGUGCGGGAUGACGGCCUUCGGGUUGUAAACCGCUUUCGCCUGUGACGAAGCGUGAGUGACGGUAAUGGGUAAAGAAGCACCGGCUAACUACGUG